RNAcentral lists this transfer RNA (73 nucleotides) under Equus sp. RNAcentral's name for it is "tRNA-Asn". The record is from RNAcentral. Lineage: Eukaryota; Metazoa; Chordata; Mammalia; Perissodactyla; Equidae.
UAGAUUGAAGCNAGUUGAUUAGGGUAUUUAGCUGUUAACUAAAAUUUCGUGGGAUGGUANCCCACCAAUCUAG